Molecule: long non-coding RNA, 1808 nt
Organism: Salvia miltiorrhiza (redroot sage)
Lineage: Eukaryota; Viridiplantae; Streptophyta; Magnoliopsida; Lamiales; Lamiaceae
Exons: 3
Source: RefSeq, a predicted model, not a curated record
GCCCAAAACCGUUUACUACCUUUGCAAAUUUUAUUUGAAAAUUUUUAUAUUUUCGAGAUAUUAAAAAUAUAAAUCUAUGAGUCGAGUUUGUGGAGAAUUAUCUAGUCGCGCCCCUAGCUAGAUGUAUGACUCUAAAUUCUAGGUUAUACCUAUAGAAAUAAAGUUUUAUAUUCCAAAAAUAUUUUUAUAUAAAUUUGGGCCUAAAUAAAUUUAUUUACUUAAAUAUAUUUAUCAUGGACAUUAUAUUAAUUUUGGAUUAAGAAUAAAAUAUUUUCAUAAAUUUUGUUAGUGUUGGGCUUAUUGUUAUUAAUGUGCCAAAUUCUUUUGCAAUGAUCCUAAAACAAUUAUUCAAGUUUCAACAUUUAUAGUUUAUUAAUUAUUUCAAGGAUUUGGAUACCUUAUUUUCGUAUCUGCAAAUUAACAAUUUCUACUCUAUUUAUUUACAUUUGUUUAAAGAAGUCUCCAAGCCAGCCAUUCCUAUUUUUAUUCUUAUCAGAUAUCUAACCGCCCUAAUUAGAUAAAUGACUUUGAACUAUAGAUUAUAUUUAUAAAAAGAUACAAAUUUAUAUUAUCAAAUAUUUUUAAUAAAUAUGUUGGGCCAUAGUUUUUAUUCUUUUUCUAUGAUAAUUGGGUUAAAAUUUUAUUAUUUGAAAGCCCAUUUAUCAUCUUUAAAGCCCAAUUAUUAUUAUAAGUCUAUAUGUCUUUCUUUAAUUAAAAUGAGAUGUUACGUGGUUCAGUUUUUCCUUAGCCACAUAUUCGGAUUUAAUCACCUUCAGUCACCUAAUUUUAUUCAGCCAUGUAUCACUCACUGCUAUCACAUUUAAAUUCACCCAAAUAACCUGCUAGGUUUCAUUUCAUCAAAAUUUAGGUUUCAUUUCAUCAAAAUUUUCCAAAGCACAAAUUUCAUUCACGUUAACAGACUUCUCAUUUCUGAUAUUUCCUUCACAAAACUUCAAUUGGCAAUUUUAUUGUUUCUGUGAGAUUUCAUGUUUUAAUUCAUCACAGCAAAUUACUACGUUUUUCUUUCAUUCUCAUUUAUUUUGUGAAACAAAACAAGCCCAUUAAACCAAACCCCUCUGUACAUAUGCACAUAACCAAAAUUCCUUAAAAAGAAAAUCUUUUAUAAGAAAUCAUUUUGGAUAAAUUCCUUUACGUAAGUAUUUGACAAACACUACAGUAGCAAACUUUGAUCAGCAAACUUUGAUUUUAUCUUCAGCUAUAUUUUAUUCUGAAACUUAGAAAGCAAGUGUAAAUUUCCUCAGCCACCAUCUGUUAUCAUCUGCAGCAAAUGUUGAUUUUUGAUUCCUCCACAGCAUCAAACUUUGAAUUCUACAGCAGGAAAUUUGAUUUCUUUCACAUUCAAAACUUUGAAUUCUACAGCAUCGAACAAGUAUUUACUUCUCAUUGCUGCCGACGUAACUUCUCCUAUUUAUACCUCAAUCCAUCAUCCUCAAUUCAUCAUCCCCAAUUCGUUUUCCUCAUUUGUUUUCUUACACCAACUUCUCGUCUGUUCAUUUUCGCUCAAGUGGUGCGGCGCGACUAGGAUAUGAAUUUUAAUUGUAUUACUCAAGUUAGCAUUCAAGUUGAAGUUCAAGUUCAAGUUAAAUUUCUAGUUUCAGGUGAUUGAUAUCGGAGGCACGUGGAGAGUCGAAUGGGCGCGUCGAAUCUAUUUAAAGAUAAAUGUUUCCUAAAACAUAUUAUGUUAUUUCAUGUGAUAUCUCUUGAUUAUGUAAACUCUGAAAUUCUAUACUAUUUGAGAUUUGUGUGUGAUUUGUUUAAAUAAAUGUUAUUAUAUUAUUUUAAUGUCA